This is a long non-coding RNA of Oncorhynchus kisutch (coho salmon), 1928 nucleotides long. RefSeq lists it as uncharacterized. The transcript has 2 exons. The record is from RefSeq and is a predicted model, not a curated record. NCBI's taxonomy places the organism in Eukaryota, Metazoa, Chordata, Actinopteri, Salmoniformes, Salmonidae.
GUUGGAAUUGAACAUACAAGCUUUUGAACCAGCUUUUGAACCAGAUGCAGAUGCUCACUCCCAUCCGACAACUCCAUCCACAAUGCCCUAGCAAAACUGAAACCUACUUGAAGGUAACAGCGCUCAUGCCCUCAACCAUGGAUGGACAUCGAACACUGAAUUGUAUCAUGGGUGACCUGCCUGGUUUCUUGACUGUGUCCAACUCACAGGGAGCAAAAUGGGUAUUACUGCAAUGUUGGAGCUAGAAACACAAGCACUCCGCUGUACCUGUGAUAAUAUCUGCAAAUAUGUAUACGUGACCAAUAAACUUUGAUUUGGUGUGGGGUGCGAGGACAGGAGGGUGAGAUCCAGAGCGGGCCAGUCAUACUGCAGCCUGGACCACGUACAACCACAGCAGUGAGCGCAGCAUGAAGAGAGAGAGCACGGAGCAGACGCUGGAGCAGAGCCAGGACACCAGGAGAAAGAAGCACAAGGGCAUUCAUAUCACUGCAGCAGCAGCCUCCCUCGCGGCCUGACUAGUUCACCUCAGAUAGACAGAGGGGCACACAUACACCACUAUAGACCAAUAUGCUCCCAGUACGGACAGGUUGUAUUAAAAAUUAGUUUUUUUAUCCAGCAGAUGUUGGAAAGAUCAAAGGUUACAGUCCAUUCCAAUGUGACAUUUGACUGAAAGGCCAAAUCCAAAACAUUAGCAUUUCUGACAAACAGUGAACAAAUUAUGACACCAACCAGUAUCCUAACCUUUUGUUGCAGGGAUCCAUUUUCUAUGAGCUCAUGUGAGUUUAUUUUGGCUCUGCUGCACUGCAUGACUCAGGCCCUUCAGACUGUCUGCUUCCUCCAGUCAGUGAGAAGCAAGGUUGAGUCAGUGCUACUGAUAAAAUGUAGGAUCUUAAUUUGACCCGUAUUGCCUCAGCAAAAUAAUCCUGGAUUUGAACAUUUAGUCCAUACUGUUGCUUGAUCGAUGUUUAGGUCUAUUAGCUGGUCGAAGUGAGGCUCCUUGAAAAGUGGAAUACUGUUAAUAUAUGGCAAGCCUGUGCGUUAGUGUGAGUUUUCAGUGAAUUUAUGUAUAUCACGAAACUCCUCUGCAUUUCCUGCUGUGCAGAAAGAAUUCUCAGCAACAAAAGAGUGAUCAAAUUAAGAUCCUACAUUUGUACAGGGGAUUCCCUGUGUGCCAUGAGGGAACUUAAAUGUGUGUUGCUGGGGCCUGGGCCAGAAACAACUGGCUAUCCCUUACCUCUUAGCCCCUAACCCUUGACCCCUUGGGAUUAUUUGGAUGUGAAUAGUUAUUCUCUGUGUGGUUGUUUCUGCAGUACUGCAGGUUUCUGGUGCCAUCACACCUGCUUCACUAAAUAACCAAUUGAUCUUUCACACCUUGAGUAACUGAAACAGGUGUUUCACACCAGAUUAAAUUAUGACUGUUAAAUUAUAACGGUUUUAGUAACAUGAUUAUAUACUGUACAGCCAGUGUGUUUAAUAACACUAUUGUUGUUACAUCCAAACCUGAAAUGCCUCUGCCGUUGUACAGUGUUGUGCUUAGUCUUAUAUUGUUGCUAUGGUGACUGCCCCUAGGGUUUCAUCAAGCAGAAGUAGGAGGCUCUGUGAUCACUCCUGGAGAGUCUCUCUCUCUCCUCUGGGAUGUUAGAGGUAAAGCCAAAGCACAGUGACACAGGACUUUGUCCUUCAAGAGGUCGAUGCUUUCUACAGUGUCCUCUAAAGUACUAAAACAUUUAGUGCAAUGAAAAAGGCCUUGUAAUACCCUAAGGCUUUGCCAGACUUUAUUGAUAGGUAGAAAUUACAACACAUUCAGAAAGGUCAAGAUGACAACACAGUUCUGCAACUGUGUAAUUUAUACUUGUUAAUGAAAGUUAUACAAGUAUUUUCUCCCCUCUAAAUAAUCAAUUAAUGUAUUAAUAAAUUUUCUGUGAAUA